Monodelphis domestica (gray short-tailed opossum) is the source of this 1241-nucleotide long non-coding RNA. The record is from Ensembl. NCBI's taxonomy places the organism in Eukaryota, Metazoa, Chordata, Mammalia, Didelphimorphia, Didelphidae.
ACCCAUUGCUGUGAAAGGUACCUGAUCUCAAGCUUUUCUAAUUAUUUUUUUUUUUAGUGUGACUUUUGGAAAUUAUAUUGUAUAUCAAUUUUUAGUUUAAUACAGAAUGUGGCCUGAGAUAUUGAUCUAAACCUAAUUUUUUAUAAAAUGUUUUCUAGUUUCUCCAGCAGUUUAUAGGGAGUUCUUCCCAAGUAGUUUGUACAAGUUGGUUUUCUUGAACACCAAGUUACCAAGUCUGAUUGUUUCAGAUUCUUGUUUAUCUUGUCUGUUCCUCUGAUCCAAUGAGCACUCAUGGAAUCUAUUUAGUUAGCCUUUCCUUAUCCCCCAGGUGCUAGUGCCCUCCCUACCCAAAUUAUUCCAUAUUCAUUUAAAAAACAAAAAACAAAAAACUCAUUUCCUUCUUAUUAGAAUUAAUAGUACUGGUUCCAAAGCCAAAGAGCAAUGAGGGCUGGGUAUUGGGGCUUAAGUGACUUGUCCAGGAUCACACAGCUAGAAGUAUCUGAGGUUAGAUUUGAACCCAGGACCUCCUGUCUUCAAGACUGACUGGACCACUUAGCUGACCCUUGAUUUUUUUUUUUUGCAUUCUGUAUAUAUCCAUAUGUGUGCAUACUGUCUCUCCCCAUCACCCCCUCUUCCCUAAAUGACUAUUAGAAUGUAAACUCUGUCCAGAUAGGACUGUUUUAUCAUAUCACCAUUACUUAACAAGAUGCUUAACACAUAUUUAUAUGUUAAAUUGAUUUACUGAUAAUCUGCCAAUAAGGGGUUAGUAGGCCCUUAACAAAUGUUUACUGAUUAAUUAGUACCUAGCAUCAAUGCUUACAUUUUAUACUAUACAAGCUUACUAGAGCUUACUAUUUCCUAUGGAAUUAGAUGUCUAUCAAGGUCUCUCUGAACAAGGGGUAUGGCAGAGACUACUUGAACUGACUCUGGAAAGUCAAUUGUUAAAUUUUCAUGAUUCUUCUAAUUUUAGUGUACUCUUCUGAGAGAAAUGGGAUUGGGGGUAAGGAAAAGUUUCAGACAAUAUGGAGUUUUAGGUACCUCAUUUUAGAAGGAACAUUAACAAGACAGUUGCCAGAGGAAAGUUACCAGGAAAAUGAGAUAACUGGAGACUAUGCCACAUGAGAAGAGAAUGAAAGAACUGCCAACUGACUGCUUGUGAGGGGGGAGAAGGAAGGAAGUAUCAUGGGUGACUGGAAACUAUACCAUAUGAAAACUGUCUGAAGAAACUGAGGAUGUUUAAA